UACGGAGGGGGCAAGCGUUAUUCGGAAUUAUUGGGCGUAAAGCGCGCGCAGGCGGUCCUUUAAGUCUGAUGUGAAAGCCCACGGCUCAACCGUGGAGGGUCAUUGGAAACUGGGGGACUUGAGUGCAGAAGAGGAAAGCGGAAUUCCACGUGUAGCGGUGAAAUGCGUAGAGAUGUGGAGGAACACCAGUGGCGAAGGCGGCUUUCUGGUCUGUAACUGACGCUGAGGCGCGAAAGCGUGGGGAGCAAACAGG
RNAcentral lists this ribosomal RNA (253 nucleotides) under uncultured bacterium. RNAcentral describes it as "partial 16S ribosomal RNA". It matches the Rfam family "Bacterial small subunit ribosomal RNA", at positions 524 to 776 of the family's 1533-position model. The record is from RNAcentral.